This 492-nucleotide ribosomal RNA is filed under the name uncultured bacterium. RNAcentral describes it as "partial 16S ribosomal RNA". It matches the Rfam family "Bacterial small subunit ribosomal RNA", at positions 29 to 507 of the family's 1533-position model. The record is from RNAcentral.
AGUGAACGCUGGCGGUAGGCCUAACACAUGCCAGUCGAACGGCAGCACAGUAAGAGCUUGCUCUUACGGGUGGCGAGUGGCGGACGGGUGAGGAAUACAUCGGAAUCUACUUUUUCGUGGGGGAUAACGUAGGGAAACUUACGCUAAUACCGCAUACGACCUACGGGUGAAAGCAGGGGAUCUUCGGACCUUGCGCGAUUGAAUGAGCCGAUGUCGGAUUAGCUAGUUGGCGAGGUAAAGGCCCACCAAGGCGACGAUGCGUAGCUGGUCUGAGAGGAUGAUCAGACACACGGGAACUGAGACACGGUCAAGAAUACUACGGGAGGCAGCCGUGGGGAAUAGUGCAGAAUGGGCGAAAGCCUGACGGAGCAAUGCCGAGUGAGUGAAGAAGGUCUUCGGAUCGUAAAGCUCUGUUAUUAGGUAAGAACAAAUGUGUACGUAAAUAUGCACGUCUUGACGGUACAUAAUGAGAAAGCAACGGCUAACUACGUG